Molecule: ribosomal RNA, 451 nt
Filed under: uncultured bacterium
Lineage: Bacteria
Description: partial 16S ribosomal RNA
Rfam family: Bacterial small subunit ribosomal RNA
Source: RNAcentral
GUGGGGAAUAUUGGACAAUGGGGGGUACCCUGAUCCAGCCAUGCCGCGUGUGUGAAGAAGGCCUUUUGGUUGUAAAGCACUUUAAGCGAGGAGGAGGCUACCGAGAUUAAUACUCUUGGAUAGUGGACGUUACUCGCAGAAUAAGCACCGGCUAACUCUGUGCCAGCAGCCGCGGUAAUACAGAGGGUGCGAGCGUUAAUCGGAUUUACUGGGCGUAAAGCGUGCGUAGGCGGCUUUUUAAGUCGGAUGUGAAAUCCCUGAGCUUAACUUAGGAAUUGCAUUCGAUACUGGGAAGCUAGAGUAUUGGAGAGGAUGGUAGAAUUCCAGGUGUAGCGGUGAAAUGCGUAGAGAUCUGGAGGAAUACCGAUGGCGAAGGCAGCCAUCUGGCCUAAUACUGACGCUGAGGUACGAAAGCAUGGGGAGCAAACGGGAUUAGAUACCCGAGUAGUCC